GCCGAAUGUGGUCGUAGACGGCAUCGAAUAUCGGGGCAGUCAUCCUCAGGACGACUUCGUCCUCAUGAGUCCCCGAUAAGGCCCGCAGAAUCAGAUCAAAACCGGCCGCCUCGGGGGCAUCGUAGAGCUCAUCCUCGAGAUCUGCCUCGUGAACGAUCGCCGCGAUCCGCCACAGCACCGGAUCAGCUAUUUCAUAAAGACGCAGGAUUGUCUCGAAGGUGCAAUCGCGUCCCUGGUGACCCAACUCCACCCCAC
RNAcentral lists this unclassified non-coding RNA (255 nucleotides) under uncultured fungus. Its description in RNAcentral is "sequence contains ITS1". The record is from RNAcentral. Lineage: Eukaryota; Fungi.